ACCAACAUCUGGUUUAAGUUCAACUGCUUGCCUUAUCCCGCGCCCUCUAACAAAAAAACAAAUCCUGCUAGUCCAAAUGUUCUGACAACUUAACCAGGACAUACUGCAAGGACAUACAUUCUGGAGAGGGAGUUUCUGGAUUUGAAGAAUUCUAAAACCAAGAAAAGCCUCACUGACUACGUUCAACAUGUCCUCUGUCAAGAUACAGUGAUCUGAUUGCCAGAAGAGGAAACUGGUAUAGAUCCUGAGGGCAAGCAAUGUUUUUAUUAUUAACCGCUUUGGGAUUUAUCUUGGUUAUCUCAUGAGCUGAAAAAAAAGAAGUCCCUAUUCUUACAACAAGAAAAGCCUUGUUCAGGCUGUAAAGUAAUGGCUUUUCUAACCCAGAUGAAAACAGGUCAAAGGAUAAACGACCAUCCAAAAUUCUGAGGAGACAUAGGCACAUCCAGGGAGACAGAGGAGUCAAACAGUUGCUAACCUUGGACAGAGGCUGCUAGAUACCAAGAAAGCCCGCCAGAAUAUCGAAGAAACACUGAUAAUUCCUUGGAAGUUGAACAUUAGUAUGGGGCUACGGUAAUGGGCUUUCCACCCAUUUGAAUGCUUUUUUCUCUAGAAACACCAUGAGGCUUUUACAGGGGGGAUCUGAGAGAAUCCAGAGAAUGUUUCCCUUGUCUUACUAGUUGGGGAGGGAAAGACCAGACACCGUAAAGUCCAUCCAGAUCCCACUGCCAUGUGAAACAAAGGCUUAAUCAGCAGUGGGAAGGGCCAGAAGAAUGCAGACUAACAGUACUAGAGGAUAUUUUUUGCAGCUAGUAAAAGGAAGAUGGAGCAGGAGACACUGUGACAGGUAGCUUAAUGUUACUCCAUACAUUUCAUAUAAACUCACUUUCACUUAUUUAUGUCACGAGUGCAUUUACGUAUUUAUGUAUAAACAAAUGUACAUUGAAUAAAAUUUUGGCUAUAUACAAAUACGUGUGUGUGUAUGUAUGUGUGCAUUGUAACUAAUUUAUUUUUAUUUUCAUUUAACUUAAUGCUUUGUGAACACUCUUCCAUAACACUAAAAAUUAAAAUACUUGGACUUUAGUGGAUGCAUGAAUGUUGCUAUAGCUUGUAGAAUAUUUAAG
Molecule: long non-coding RNA, 1121 nt
Filed under: Homo sapiens (human)
Lineage: Eukaryota; Metazoa; Chordata; Mammalia; Primates; Hominidae
Description: HSALNT0325659
Source: RNAcentral